Molecule: ribosomal RNA, 253 nt
Filed under: uncultured bacterium
Lineage: Bacteria
Description: partial 16S ribosomal RNA
Rfam family: Bacterial small subunit ribosomal RNA
Source: RNAcentral
UACAGAGGUCUCAAGCGUUGUUCGGAUUCAUUGGGCGUAAAGGGUGCGUAGGCGGCGCGGUAAGUCGGGUGUGAAAUCUCGGAGCUUAACUCCGAAACUGCAUUCGAUACUGCCGUGCUUGAGGACUGGAGAGGAGACUGGAAUUUACGGUGUAGCGGUGAAAUGCGUAGAUACCGUAAGGAAGACCAGUGGCGAAGGCGGGUCUCUGGACAGUUCCUGACGCUGAGACACGAAGGCCAGGGGAGCAAACGGG